UAACGAUUACGUUGUUUCUGACGCUGACUGCAAUUACAAAGGGUUUAAGGAGGUCCUACUGGCAGGCAAGCCUGCCGAGGAAACAAUGGGUACGCAAAAAGCAAGGGUAGGGUUCAGAGAGCAAGCUCGAUCCUUUCGGAAAGCUUGCCCCUUGGCCUUGUAUAGUUAAUGAUCCUUCCGCAGGUUCACCUACGGAAA
This 198-nucleotide unclassified non-coding RNA is filed under the name uncultured fungus. Its description in RNAcentral is "sequence contains ITS1". Lineage: Eukaryota; Fungi. The record is from RNAcentral.